Molecule: ribosomal RNA, 253 nt
Filed under: uncultured bacterium
Lineage: Bacteria
Description: partial 16S ribosomal RNA
Rfam family: Bacterial small subunit ribosomal RNA
Source: RNAcentral
GACAGAGGGUGCAAACGUUGUUCGGAUUUACUGGGCGUAAAGCGCGUGCAGGCGGCUUUGCAAGUCGGAUGUGAAAGCCCACGGCUCAACCGUGGAAGUGCAUCCGAAACUGCAUGGCUUGAGUCUCGGAGAGGAAGGUGGAAUGCUUGGUGUAGAGGUGAAAUUCGUAGAUAUCAAGCAGAACACCUGCGGCGAAGGCGGCCUUCUGGACGAUGACUGACGCUGAGACGCGAAAGCGUGGGGAGCAAACAGG